GCCUGGUGGUUCCUAGAGACAGCUGCCCCGUGCUGUUCUGUGGGUUUUGAUUGACAGGCAAAUAUUAAUAUCAGCGAUUUUAUGCAUGGACGCUGCUAUUCCAAGUAGCUUCCAUAGCCCGGUUGCUGAGACAGUG
Molecule: small nucleolar RNA, 136 nt
Organism: Esox lucius (northern pike)
Lineage: Eukaryota; Metazoa; Chordata; Actinopteri; Esociformes; Esocidae
Product: small nucleolar RNA SNORA84
Source: Ensembl